AGGAAAGCAGGGGAUCGCAAGACCUUGCGCUUUUGGAGCGGCCGAUGUCUGAUUAGCUAGUUGGUGAGGUAAAGGCUUACCAAGGCUUCGAUCAGUAGCUGGUCUGAGAGGACGACCAGCCACACUGGGACUGAGACACGGCCCAGACUCCUACGGGAGGCAGCAGUGGGGAAUUUUGGACAAUGGGGGCAACCCUGAUCCAGCCAUGCCGCGUGAGUGAAGAAGGCCUUCGGGUUGUAAAGCUCUUUCAGCCGGAACGAAAAGGUUACGGUUAAUACCCGUGACUAAUGACGGUACCGGAAGAAGAAGCACCGGCUAACUACGUGCCAGCAGCCGCGGUAAUACGUAGGGUGCGAGCGUUAAUCGGAAUUACUGGGCGUAAAGCGUGCGCAGGCGGUUUUGUAAGUCAGGUGUGAAAUCCCCGGGCUUAACCUGGGAACUGCGUUUGAAACUACAAAGCU
Molecule: ribosomal RNA, 461 nt
Filed under: uncultured beta proteobacterium
Lineage: Bacteria; Pseudomonadati; Pseudomonadota; Betaproteobacteria
Description: bacterial SSU rRNA
Rfam family: Bacterial small subunit ribosomal RNA
Source: RNAcentral